Molecule: long non-coding RNA, 1836 nt
Organism: Phragmites australis (common reed)
Lineage: Eukaryota; Viridiplantae; Streptophyta; Magnoliopsida; Poales; Poaceae
Exons: 3
Source: RefSeq, a predicted model, not a curated record
UUCCUCUCACCCUCGCAUUGUUGUGCAUUUCUCUCGCUCCCUCCUCGGGUUCCGCUCCUGCUCAUUGCCUCCGGAACAAAUCCCGCUAAUUCUUCUUCUCCACCCUAUCUCGUCGCUCCUCCUUCGCCAGCCGACUCCUGCCCCUCUGCGUCCACACGCUGCCGCCUCCUGGCCCCCUACGCCUAGCCGCCCUUUGUCAGCCUCCUCUGACGAAACUGCGCCGCACGCACUCCCACCGAAACCACGCCGCCCCGCCGUAUCACCAUCCGGCGUGUGAAUCCAGGAGCCGCCAUCCCACCGAAGCCACACUGCCGUGUCAUCAUUGUCAGGAAAGGUAAUGAGCAGUGACCACCCGCCCCCAACUACCCUGGAAACUUGGAAAGCAACUAUUUCCAGGAAUGAAGACGACCUGGACGGCGGCGGCGAAGGAGAUUGGUGCGGCAGGCUCCGUCCAGUUCCCGUGCCGUUUGCUCCCUUGAAUAUCCCGCCGCCUCCAGCCCGUCCACAACCACCGUGUGGGAGGUUGCCCGUGCGGGCACCGCAACUGCCGUCACCUUCGGCCGCGUCCACGACCAGAGUUCUUCACAAAUUUGCGCCUCACUCCUUCGUAAUCUUCCUUGCUAUUGAAGAGUAUAUGUAAAUAAAUCUAGGACAGCUUUUUUUUUAUGUAAUCCAAGGCUAUGGAACUCACCUUGGUUUGUGCUAAAUUUUUCUGCAUUUGUCUCUCUACGUUUACUUAUGUAUGCCUAACUCUAGCAUCAACUCAAACAGUGAGCUCAUGUACGCCAAUUUGCCUUUCACCAUUAUACCAACCGAGGUGUUAUUGAUUUGUGGUUUGUAACCUCAAGGCUGUGCUAUUCGUAUCUGUUGCAGAGCAAUAUGACAAAGAAAACAUAUGGCAGGUUUUCUUCAAAGGCUUUGAGCGUGUUUUCCAAGCCAGAGCAUGUUGAGCAAACGAAGAAAAAAUGGCUUGCAUGGUUAUGAAGGACUGGUUUACUGCAGGAUAUGGUAAACAAGGUGGUUCUUUUGAGAAUUGCUGGCUUGAGGAUUUAUAUUCAUACAUUAUCUCAUAAACAAGUAAUAUGCUGGUCAAUAUUUCUGCAAUUUUGCAUCCCUGGUGAGGAUUACUGCCUGCAAAAUGGUGAGUUGACUCAUAUGCAUGUUUCUACAUUUUCACCUCCCACUAUAAGGAUUAAUGCCUGUACAAUUGGUGCCAAGUCUGCUUAGACGUAUGCUGUAAGAUUCCUGUACCACAGAAACUAUUGAUACCGAAUGUUCGUAGGAUCUCCACUUUGCAUGGCCUUAUUUUCUAUGUCUGAGUUCGAGCUUUUUUUAUCUCAAAAUACUUUUCGUGCGACUUAUCUGAUGUUCAAAUGAUAAGGUGUCAAUAUAAACUAGACAAAUGCCACUGUGGUGCAAGCGCCAAUAUGAAUGAUGAGUUUAUUUAUGUUCUAAUGCAGUUAGCAUAUGAAAAGACAACCUUGCUUUAAUGCGUGGAAAUCAUUGGGAUUGAUAUGGGUAUAUUGAUCAUUUGAAUUGUUUCCAUGAACCAAUUUUGUGUAUGAAUAUUACUGGCUGCCCAAUUUCAGUGUUUCCUUUUUUUCUAUGCAGGUACUUCAUAAGUUUUCAUCAUAGGAUGUGACUGUAUAACUUCACUUUUCUCUUUUUGUAUGUGCCCAAUUAGGGCUCCAGGCUUGAUAUGUUGCUUGGCUAUUGAUUUCGGUUAGGUUUGGAGUUCUACUUUUGACAUGUUAGAAGUAUAUAUACUGAGAAUGUGGCACUGUUUAUUUUUUUCUUUCAAUGUUGGUUAUAAAUAUUGGUGGUUUCAUUUGGUUA